RNAcentral lists this small nuclear RNA (105 nucleotides) under Salmo salar (Atlantic salmon). RNAcentral's name for it is "U1 spliceosomal RNA". It matches the Rfam family "U1 spliceosomal RNA", at positions 1 to 106 of the family's 166-position model. Rfam says of the family: U1 is a small nuclear RNA (snRNA) component of the spliceosome (involved in pre-mRNA splicing). Its 5' end forms complementary base pairs with the 5' splice junction, thus defining the 5' donor site of an intron. Lineage: Eukaryota; Metazoa; Chordata; Actinopteri; Salmoniformes; Salmonidae. The record is from Rfam by way of RNAcentral.
AUACUUACCUGGCAAGGGAGACACCGUGAUCAAGAAGGCGGUUCACCCAGGGCGAGGCUCAGCCAUUGCACUCCGGCUGUGCUGACCCCUGCGAAUUUCCCAAAU